This 1705-nucleotide long non-coding RNA is filed under the name Olea europaea subsp. europaea. The record is from RNAcentral. Lineage: Eukaryota; Viridiplantae; Streptophyta; Magnoliopsida; Lamiales; Oleaceae.
CUUUUUCUAACCCUCCUCUUAUGUUUAUAUUAUUAUUGAUUUAUAUUACUUAUAUGUUUAUGUUUAACAUAGUUAUGUUAAUUAAUAUUUUAUCUAUACACAAAUCACCAAAUUUUCCAACAAACUAAAGUCAUGUUGGUGAUUUUCUUGUAAAUUAAAUAUCGUGUGAUCAUCAAAUUUAAAAGGCAUUUUCUUGAUUUAUUGUAUGUGACUGCAUUAUAUGUUUACUAAAAUUAUUAAUCUUAUUAUCUGAAUGAUAAUGAAUAUGUUUUUUUUUAUGGGUUUUAAUUGUUUAUCUUAAAUAUUAUACUUGAGUAAGAAAAUCAGAUUUUUAAAUGUGUUUGAUUUUACUGGUAAUUGUUUUGGCGUUUUGUAACAUUAUUUGAUUUCUUCAGUUAAAUGAUAUUUGUAUAAAAUUUAAGCAGAUUAUUAAUGAUUUGCCUUAUAUUCAUUUGCAUGGAAGGAAAUUCAAUACGUAUGAUAAUAGAUAUAGACAAAUUCCAAAUGCGUAUAAAAAGCAUUAAGAAUUUCUUGUUAAUUGAAGAGGAUAGUCAUGCAGUGAUAGCAUCGCUAGGAAGGAAUGAAAAGGACUUAAUAAGGAAUUUCUUAUUAGGGCACGUAGCACGUCACUUGGAUCUUUUCUUUCAAAUAUGUAUCAACAUAUCUUUUAACUUGCCCUAAGUAAUAGUUUCACUAGCUAUAUAAUAAUGUAAAGUUCAUAUUUUAUGUUGUGAAAAUAAAAAUAAAAAUAAAAAUACAGCAUAUAAAAACUUUUAGGGCAGAUUGACAAAUGAUUGUAGGAUGCAAUUUUUCCUAAAUUGCAGAUUAGACGAAAUCUGCUAAAGCAUCCUGCCUGAUUCUCUUUGCUUUUGUAAUGACAUGACGAUAUCAUGCUAGAUUUAAGUCGAAGAGUUAUGGAUAAGAAACGGUGCAUUGGCCUCGACUCUUUUUAGUUCUAAGUCUUAUUUGCCAAAUUAUGACGAGAGUUGGCCUAGUUGAUAAGGUAUUAUUUAUAUGGUGUAAGAAAGAAAAUGAGGUACAUUAACUUACAAAAGAAACAACAUAGUGCAUGUAUUAAUUGACAUGCCUUCAAGGUUUUCUAUAUGGGCUCUCCAAAGUAACUCCUAUGAGUAAUAGUGAUUUAUUCUAGAUUUGUAACUCUUAUAUUGGUAUUAUUGUGUUAAAAAUUUUAUUUUGGUUGCUUGAUUAAUUAUAUGUAUUGACUAAAAGAAAAGGGAAGACAAGAUCAAAUACUAGAAACUUCCUAUUAUUUCUAAUUGAUCUAGUGAAUUAUGAUGAAAUAUAAACUCAAUGCUAUUAACAUUGUUGCUAAACUAAGUACAUUGUAGAUGAAGUUUUGAUGUUUUAUACUAAUUUUAUUUAUCAAAUUAGUUUUAAUCAUACAAUGGUAAAACAGACAAAUAAAUAAAUAAAAAAAAUAGUGAAGUGAUCUAUCAUCUAAUGCCAAUUAUAUUACUCGAAAAACUUUGAAUGUUUCUGUAACAGUACACAAAACUGUAAUUAAGCCUUGCAACUUAUAUCUAGCUUUGAUGUUUAUAAUGAGCUUUUGUAUAAUUUGAUCAUAUCUGCUAAAAUUACAAUUUCUAUAAGAAUAAGAGUAAACAUAAGUCUAAAUCUAAAGCUAAAGCUAAAGGAAAAGAAAGCUCUUCAAGACGGAUAUCCUUGAAAUCUGGGGGGUAUUAAA